RNAcentral lists this ribosomal RNA (463 nucleotides) under uncultured bacterium. RNAcentral describes it as "partial 16S ribosomal RNA". It matches the Rfam family "Bacterial small subunit ribosomal RNA", at positions 338 to 795 of the family's 1533-position model. The record is from RNAcentral.
CCUACGGGAGGCAGCAGUGGGGAAUAUUGCGCAAUGGGCGAAAGCCUGACGCAGCGACGCCGCGUGAGGGAUGAAGGUCUUCGGGUUGUAAAGAUCUGUUGACAGGGACGAAUAAGCAAUGCGAAUAGUUUUGUGUAUGAUGGUACCUGUUUAGAAAGCUCCGGCUAACUACGUGCCAGCAGCCGCGGUAAUACGGAGGGAGCAAGCGUUGUCCGGAAUUACUGGGCGUAAAGGGCGCGUAGGUGGGCGCUUAAGUCAGGUGUGAAAACUCCGGGCUCAACCUGGAGACUGCACUUGAAACUGGGUGUCUUGAGUGCAGGAGAGGAAAGUGGAAUGCGUGGUGUAGCGGUGAAAUGCGUAGAUAUUAGGAGGAACACCAGUGGCGAAGGCGACUUUCUGGACUGUACCUGACGCUGAGGCGCGAAAGCGUGGGUAGCGAACGGGAUUAGAUACCCGAGUAGUC